Malurus melanocephalus (red-backed fairy wren) is the source of this 744-nucleotide long non-coding RNA. RefSeq lists it as uncharacterized. NCBI's taxonomy places the organism in Eukaryota, Metazoa, Chordata, Aves, Passeriformes, Maluridae. The record is from RefSeq and is a predicted model, not a curated record. The transcript is spliced from 5 exons.
UUCCGCCUCUCUGGAUGAUGGCGGCGAGUCGUGGUGCUGGUGUGUUCCGUCGGGAACCAUCCAUCGCAAUCCGCCUUCCUCGGGCCACUGCCGGUGAUCGGCUCUGCUGCAUCAGCGCCCCGUGGGCACSGUGCCCGGCGGCGGCGCUUCGGUGCCAGCUCCGAUGGCUGUGAAGGGCAGCGCGGCCUUUCUGCCGCCUUCCUCGCCAGGCCCCGGCCCCAGCUCAAGACUCUACUUCACCAGUAGCGUCCUGGCAUAGAACGGUAUCCUGGAGCCUGGGAUGGCUGAUGAGAGCCUCAGCUUUGUGCAGGGGUCCUGAGUUUUCCAGAGCUCGCCCACCUAUCUACUGGAUAAACUGAGGAAUUACUCAGUGGAAAAAGGUGAGAACCUGGGAGCCCUGUCCCAAGGGAUUCCACUUGCUUCCCACAGGGCCUCAGUUGUGGGGAARCUGCAGUGUGGAGCACGUCUGAGCAGUGGRUGGAGCCAAGGUGAGCAAUCCCUGAGGGACUUGGUACUGCAGUACCAGAAGAACAGUGUUCCAUGAAGUUUCUCAGGACAGGAAUAUCAAAUACUUGGGUAGAGCAGGGAGCCAAUAAUGCUAAGGUGGUGGGUUUGUUCCUGUACAGGCCAUUCAUUUAAGAGGUGGACUCAGUGAYCCCUGUAGGUCCCUUCCAACUUGAAAUAUUCUGUGUGUGUGAUAUGAGUUUGAAUAAAUGCAAUUGCUUCAAAUUCUUGUGUCUCUCA